This 809-nucleotide ribosomal RNA is filed under the name Flavobacterium sp. B222. RNAcentral describes it as "partial 16S ribosomal RNA". The record is from RNAcentral. Lineage: Bacteria; Pseudomonadati; Bacteroidota; Flavobacteriia; Flavobacteriales; Flavobacteriaceae.
GUGGGAUACUUAUCACUUUCGCUUAGCCACUGAGAUUGCUCCCAACAGCUAGUAUCCAUCGUUUACGGCGUGGACUACCAGGGUAUCUAAUCCUGUUCGCUACCCACGCUUUCGUCCAUCAGCGUCAAUCCAUUAGUAGUAACCUGCCUUCGCAAUUGGUAUUCCAUGUAAUCUCUAAGCAUUUCACCGCUACACUACAUAUUCUAGUUACUUCCUAAUAAUUCAAGUUUAACAGUAUCAAUGGCCGUUCCACCGUUGAGCGAUGGGCUUUCACCACUGACUUAUUAAACCGCCUACGGACCCUUUAAACCCAAUGAUUCCGGAUAACGCUUGGAUCCUCCGUAUUACCGCGGCUGCUGGCACGGAGUUAGCCGAUCCUUAUUCUUACGAUACCGUCAAGCUCCUAUACAUAGGAGUGUUUCUUCUCGUACAAAAGCAGUUUACAAUCCAUAGGACCGUCAUCCUGCACGCGGCAUGGCUGGAUCAGGCUUGCGCCCAUUGUCCAAUAUUCCUCACUGCUGCCUCCCGUAGGAGUCUGGUCCGUGUCUCAGUACCAGUGUGGGGGAUCUCCCUCUCAGGACCCCUACCCAUCGUAGCCUUGGUAAGCCGUUACCUUACCAACUAGCUAAUGGGACGCAUGCUCAUCUUUUACCGUUGUGACUUUAAUUGCUCGAUGAUGCCAUCAUGCAAUGCUAUGAGGUAUUAAUCCAAAUUUCUCUGGGCUAUCCCUCUGUAAAAGGCAGAUUGCAUACGCGUUACGCACCCGUGCGCCGGUCUCUAUAUCCGAAGACAUAUACCCCUCGACUGCA